RNAcentral lists this ribosomal RNA (393 nucleotides) under uncultured bacterium. RNAcentral's name for it is "bacterial SSU rRNA". It matches the Rfam family "Bacterial small subunit ribosomal RNA", at positions 29 to 416 of the family's 1533-position model. The record is from RNAcentral.
AAUGAACGCUGGCGGCGCGCCUAAUACAUGCAAGUCGAGCGAGAAGACGUAGCAAUACGUUUGUAAAGCGGCGAACGGGUGAGGAAUACAUGGGUAACCUACCCUCGAGUGGGGAAUAACUAGCCGAAAGGUUAGCUAAUACCGCGUACGCUCCUUGGACUUCGGUUCAGGGAGGAAAGCGAUACCGUGGGUAUCGCGCUCUUGGUGGCUCAUGUCCUAUCAGCUUGUUGGUGAGGAACGGCUCACCAAGGCUUCGACGGGUAGCUGGUCUGAGAGGACGAUCAGCCACACUGGCACUGCGACACGGGCCAGACUCCUACGGGAGCAGCAGUAAGGAAUAUUGCGCAAUGGGCGAAAGCCUGACGCAGCGACGCCGCGUGGGGGAUGAAGGUC